RNAcentral lists this ribosomal RNA (159 nucleotides) under uncultured bacterium. Its description in RNAcentral is "partial 16S rRNA". It matches the Rfam family "Bacterial small subunit ribosomal RNA", at positions 355 to 510 of the family's 1533-position model. The record is from RNAcentral.
UAGGGAAUCUUCCACAAUGGGCGAAAGCCUGAUGGAGCAACGCCGCGUGUGUGAUGAAGGGUUUCGGCUCGUAAAACACUGUUGUAAGAGAAGAAUGACAUUGAGAGUAACUGUUCAAUGUGUGACGGUAUCUUACAGAAGGACGGCUAAAUCGUGCCA